UUGUAUUCUAUAAAAAACAAAAUGUGCAUCCACUGAAUCAAUUGAUUCUUAUUUUGAUUUUGAGAAUGCCUAUAUAUAGGCUGAGGCUGCUCGAAUGAGAAAUAUAACACUCAAAAGGUCUUAUUUUUCCAUCUUCUUCCCUUAAGCUAAUGUAGGGAUGGGUAGUUAGUCAAGAUGUGCAAAGUUUAAUGGAGGGAUUGAAUCAAGAGUCUUGACUUCAUCCACUAUAUUAUGGUGGAGGCACAACCAAAGCAGCUCUGUG
Molecule: long non-coding RNA, 262 nt
Filed under: Elaeis guineensis (African oil palm)
Lineage: Eukaryota; Viridiplantae; Streptophyta; Magnoliopsida; Arecales; Arecaceae
Description: long non-coding RNA (EGUI_LNC013103)
Source: RNAcentral